Molecule: non-coding RNA, 45 nt
Organism: Schistosoma rodhaini
Lineage: Eukaryota; Metazoa; Platyhelminthes; Trematoda; Strigeidida; Schistosomatidae
Source: Rfam
AUCCAGCUGAUGAGUCCCGAAUAGGACGAGACGCGCAUCUUGGAU